ACGGAAGGCAGCAGUGGGGAAUAUUGGACAAUGGGGGAAACCCUGAUCCAGCGACGCCGCGUGAGUGAAGAAGUAUUUCGGUAUGUAAAGCUCUAUCAGCAAGGAAGAAAAUGACGGUACUUGACUAAGAAGCUCCGGCUAAAUACGUGCCAGCAGCCGCGGUAAUACGUAUGGAGCAAGCGUUAUCCGGAUUUACUGGGUGUAAAGGGAGCGUAGACGGUAUGGCAAGUCUGAUGUGAAAACCCAAGGCUCAACCAUGGGACUGCAUUGGAAACUGUCAAACUAGAGUGCAGGAGGGGUAAGCGGAAUUCCUAGUGUAGCGGUGAAAUGCGUAGAUAUUAGGAGGAACACCGGUGGCGAAGGCGGCUUACUGGACUGUAACUGACGUUGAGGCUCGAAAGCGUGGGGAGCAAACAGGAUUAGAUACCCUGGUA
RNAcentral lists this ribosomal RNA (434 nucleotides) under uncultured Lachnospiraceae bacterium. Its description in RNAcentral is "partial 16S ribosomal RNA". It matches the Rfam family "Bacterial small subunit ribosomal RNA", at positions 341 to 792 of the family's 1533-position model. Lineage: Bacteria; Bacillati; Bacillota; Clostridia; Lachnospirales; Lachnospiraceae. The record is from RNAcentral.